AGACCUCAGGUCAGGCGGGGCUACCCGCUGAAUUUAAGCAUAUCAAUAAGCGGAGGAAAAGAAACUAACAAGGAUUCCCUUAGUAACGGCGAGCGAACCGGGAUAAGCCCACCAUGAAAAUCGGUCGCCUUCGGCGUUCGA
This 141-nucleotide ribosomal RNA is filed under the name Trigonella foenum-graecum. Its description in RNAcentral is "partial 28S ribosomal RNA". It matches the Rfam family "Eukaryotic large subunit ribosomal RNA", at positions 1 to 141 of the family's 3401-position model. The record is from RNAcentral. Lineage: Eukaryota; Viridiplantae; Streptophyta; Magnoliopsida; Fabales; Fabaceae. RNAcentral also lists the same sequence under 1 other name.